UGAUUUUUCUGGUAUGGAGAAUUACUUAUGGAAGCCUUUGUACACUUUCUAAUAUAGAGAGAAGUUAACGCGACUGAAAAUAAUGAUUGACGUACAAGUCAUCUUCUUGUUAAGGGGGAUGGCAACACUUUCGAAUUGCGAGGAUUUCCAUUGACAGCAUUCUACCUUUUGAGUACUUGCAAAAGUAUUUGAUAUUAGUAUGGUAAUAAUGAAUGAUGUUGGAUAACCCGCAGCCAAGCUUGUAUUUGUCGACAAACAAAGACAAGACGGGUUCACAGACUAAGUGGAUGUGGGUAGAUUAGUGUCUAGACACUACAUCUACUUAAGAUAUAGUCGAGAGCUUCAUAGGAAUGUGAAGAUGUAUUAAAACGUUCCGUAGGUGAACCUGCGGAAGGAUCAUUAUCGAGAUUGAUUACCUAGUAAUCAAACCUCCACCCAAUGUUUAUAUAUGCUGUUAUAGCAGCUUUGGCGGGAUGUCGAAAGACGAUUAGUGAGCUUUGUGUUUACUGAUUUAUGCCUGCCAAAGUAUAAACUCUUGUCAACUUUGAAGUCUGAGAAGAUUUUGAAAAUAAAUCAAAACUUUCAACAACGGAUCUCUUGGUUCUGGCAUCGAUGAAGAACGCAGCGAAAUGCGAUAAGUAAUGUGAAUUGCAGAAUUCAGUGAAUCAUCGAAUCUUUGAACGCACAUUGCGCCUCUUGGUAUUCCUUGAGGCAUGCCUGUUCGAGCGUCGUUUAGACCAUAAGGCUUUGCCUUGCGUUGAGUUUAUGAUGGUGCGCGUCUCAGUACGCUGUGCCAACUACUCCAAACAUAUUGGCAUCUGACUUGGCCAAAAACACAGCGAUAUGUGAUUUUGAUAGUCAAUGAAGGAUUGUCUUUAUACCUAAAUUUUAAACGGUCGACCU
This 903-nucleotide ribosomal RNA is filed under the name fungal sp. ARIZ B179cA. RNAcentral's name for it is "eukaryotic LSU rRNA". The stretch from base 578 to 731 matches the Rfam family "5.8S ribosomal RNA". The record is from RNAcentral. Lineage: Eukaryota; Fungi.